RNAcentral lists this transfer RNA (105 nucleotides) under Mycobacterium paraterrae. Its description in RNAcentral is "tRNA-OTHER". The stretch from base 16 to 105 matches the Rfam family "tRNA". Rfam says of the family: Transfer RNA (tRNA) molecules are approximately 80 nucleotides in length. Their secondary structure includes four short double-helical elements and three loops (D, anti-codon, and T loops). The record is from RNAcentral. Lineage: Bacteria; Bacillati; Actinomycetota; Actinomycetes; Mycobacteriales; Mycobacteriaceae.
AGGGUGGGGUUGUGGGGGGUUGAAGGUGAACGUAUCACCGCAAGCUGGGGCCCAUCGCGCGGACUCAUAAUCCGUUGGUCGCGGGUUCGAGCCCCGCCCGCCCUA